UACGUAGGGCGCAAGCGUUGUCCGGAAUUAUUGGGCGUAAAGAGCUCGUAGGCGGUUUGUCGCGUCUGCUGUGAAAACCUAAGGCUCAACCUUGGGCUUGCAGUGGGUACGGGCAGACUAGAGUGCGGUAGGGGUGACUGGAAUUCCUGGUGUAGCGGUGGAAUGCGCAGAUAUCAGGAGGAACACCGAUGGCGAAGGCAGGUCACUGGGCCGCAACUGACGCUGAGGAGCGAAAGCGUGGGGAGCAAACAGG
Molecule: ribosomal RNA, 253 nt
Filed under: uncultured bacterium
Lineage: Bacteria
Description: partial 16S ribosomal RNA
Rfam family: Bacterial small subunit ribosomal RNA
Source: RNAcentral